UUCGUAGGCGGUUUGUCGCGUCGUCUGUGAAAACCCACCGCUCAACGGUGGGCCUGCAGGCGAUACGGGCAGACUUGAGUACUGCAGGGGAGACUGGAAUUCCUGGUGUAGCGGUGAAAUGCGCAGAUAUCAGGAGGAACACCGGUGGCGAAGGCGGGUCUCUGGGCAGUAACUGACGCUGAGGAACGAAAGCGUGGGUAGCAAACA
RNAcentral lists this ribosomal RNA (207 nucleotides) under uncultured bacterium. Its description in RNAcentral is "partial 16S ribosomal RNA". It matches the Rfam family "Bacterial small subunit ribosomal RNA", at positions 568 to 774 of the family's 1533-position model. The record is from RNAcentral.